Drosophila miranda is the source of this 1939-nucleotide long non-coding RNA. RefSeq lists it as uncharacterized. The record is from RefSeq and is a predicted model, not a curated record. Lineage: Eukaryota; Metazoa; Arthropoda; Insecta; Diptera; Drosophilidae. The transcript is spliced from 2 exons.
UUUAUGUCCAAUUCAUCCACACAAGUACCCCAUCCACACAAGUAACAGGACACCACUGAAGAAUCAAUAACUGAUUCGUCCCACACUCCAGCUAGAGUCCACUAAUCUAAACAAUGGACACUAUUGAUUCAUCAACGCCAGAAUCACGCCACCCUCAAGAAAUCGAUCCGUUAGAAGCAUGCCAGUCAUGAGGACCAAUCAGAGCUAGUCAUAAAACCAAGGAGUAUCACAUUCCUAGCUCACUCAUGUAAUGCAACACCGAACGCCAGCAGCGGAUGCCUUUGAUCAAAAGCCGACGCAUCCCCAAACUUCGGUCCAGGCACGUGUAGUGGCGCCUGUCCAACCAAAAAUAUCGGAUAACCGUCCCACGGUUUCCCCUUCCCUUAGACAUGCACCUUGCACCUUUUGGGCAGUUACGCGCAAGAAAAAAAAAUGACAUAAGUUAACAGCGGCUACUGUCAAGGUGUGGUGAGAAAAGGGGAAUGAGAGAACCAAGGGCUCAAGCGGAAGGAGAGUGGCUUGGGCAUGUUCUUUCCAAUUUUACUCGCGAUCCCAGACGGACGUCUGAGGAAAAUACUCAAGUAGUGCAGUGAAAGGAAAAAUCCUAACCUCGACCGUAAUUACCGCGUGUCCCUCGUGGCUAAGAUCUAGUCAAAAGAUCAGCCGACCAUUCCUACGUUUAUUAAGCGAAGGCCGAACCCAUCGGGCUUGGCCGUACGUAAUACCGUACGAAACGCCGGUCGUAGUGCCGUAAGCCGUACCCACUACAGUCUCGUCACCUUGCCACACAUAUAUGUAAGUACCCAUCGUACCGAUCGACUAAUGUAUGUGUUAGCCGUCUUCGACCCCAAAUCUUCUUUCGGCGUGGCGUCUGCAUACAUGUGAGCAUCACUGUAUUUACCGCAGGGUGUACCGGCGUGGGUCCACACACAUACAAGCCUUGCUCGGCCUACACCAGUGAAAAACGGUCGAUGGGCUUAUAUCUACGCGUGCGUGGCGUAUGUAUGUGUGAAGUUUACGAUUCUCUCUUCAGAGACUUUCGUCAUUGCUACGUCGCUUACGCCACCCGCAUACGAACAGUAACGCUAAAGGAGAAGACAAUUACCGGUGCCGUAAUACUGUUUGCUUUGCUGAUGAAGUCAUUCGGUGUCUCGAUCAUGAUGGCUAUGCCCAUGCAUUUCUUCAUAUUGGAAUAAUACUUUGGAACCCCACUAUUGUACUGACCCUAGGAUUAACAUUAAAAGUUAAAUUCGUGUGAUUCGGUUUGUUUGGAUUAUCAUAAAGAAAUGUGCAGCUAGAAGGAAAGGAACUACUCUGACACAUUGAUAUUUACAAGUUUUCAGCCACCCUCAUCGACCACAUGGAAGCGCUUUCAUCGUUGGAUUUGAUCAUAAUGUGAGUGAUAACCUGUGAACGUCUGCUAUAUGUGAAUUCAAAAUUUUACGCAAGUCGAAGCAACAUUAAAGCUUCCAUGCCUCGACCGUAAACUUCCCAGCCGUACUGUAACGCUGACCAAUCCAAUUGUUCACGUGUUUGUUUUGUUCUGAUCUUUCGCAAGCAAUGUAACUUUCUGCAAUUCCGAAUCUAUCGACAACCGAACUUAUGAUUGGGAUUACCCCACAAGCAAUUGCUGUGCACUUUAAAGAUGCAUCCAUCCGUCCCUUGUUUUUGCAUUUAAACUGAAAACCAUUCGAAUAUAUUUCUAUUUGUGUGACGUAAUUACCAUUAUUCCUGAAUAUACUCUUUAUAAUUAGUUGACCCUAGUCUAAUAAGAUCUUUCAUCAUGAUAUAUUUAUAUAUAUAUGUAAUUAAUCUUAAUUGCAGCUUAUUUGAACAUAUUAUCCUUAUUACUUUAGUAGCCUUUAUAUAUAUCUACCCACUUAGCAGCCUGUAGAGAGAGCUUGUAGAAAAGUUUAAUGAAUAAACUGUUUGUAAUGAA